Molecule: non-coding RNA, 299 nt
Organism: Deinococcus sp.
Lineage: Bacteria; Thermotogati; Deinococcota; Deinococci; Deinococcales; Deinococcaceae
Source: Rfam
CCGUCCAGCACUGCUGCGGCGCGAUGAAGUGAAUGUGCGUGUCCACGCCGCCCGCCGUGAGGAUGUGCCCCUCGCCCGCCACGAUCUCGGUGCUCGCGCCGAUGGUCAGCCCCGGCGUCACGCCGUCCUGCGUGCCGGGAUUCCCCGCCUUCCCGAUGGCCGUGAUCCGUCCGUUCUUCACGCCCACGUCCGCCUUCACGACGCCCCAGUGAUCCAGGAUCAGCGCGUUUGUGAUCACCAGAUCCGGCACGUUCGCAUCCUCGCGGGUGGCGGUGCUGCUCUGGCCCAAGCCGUCGCGG